Molecule: long non-coding RNA, 1320 nt
Organism: Brachypodium distachyon (stiff brome)
Lineage: Eukaryota; Viridiplantae; Streptophyta; Magnoliopsida; Poales; Poaceae
Exons: 3
Source: RefSeq, a predicted model, not a curated record
GGUUUCAGUUCCCGACCGCGUCUCUUGCUCGGUCGCUCUCUUUGGCCUCUGGUUAACGGGAACUUCGCCGGCCUUCCCCUCCGUGACGCCGCCGUGCGCCGCGCUGGCCGGUUAGAGGGGGCGGGGGAGCGAGGGAGGAUGAUCUACACGGCUAUAUACACGUUCUUCUACCUGACGGACGAGCAGCUGCCGGACUCGCCGUCGCGCAAAGAUGGGAUCGACGAGGCCUCCCUCCGCGUCCACGGCUGCGACGUCACCCAGGAGAGCGGCAUCCUCCUCAAGCUGUAUCCCUUUUCCUCCCCUGUCCCUCGCCUCUCGUUUGUGCCCAAUUUUCGAAGUUCCUAGGGUUUGGUGAUAAGCCUGGUUGGGAGGACCAGGUGGAAAUUGAGCUCGUUAAAAUGCAAUUUCGCAUUAGGUUUAGGACUAAAUACCGAUGUUUGAUUUGUUAGUUGCGCUGCCGAAUUGUCCCUUGUUUAGUAAGGAAAUUGCAAAUAGAUCUAUGCUUUACUUGGGUUUGGGUGUCUGUGCGCAUUGUAGGUGUCUGUCCUGUUUAAUCGUUUUUACUGCAAGAAAUCAUUCGCACGAUUUACUGCUAAUGUAUAUAGGUUUGUAUCCAGUUUACUCUAGCCGAACCAUUCUCAGACUCUUCUGAGCUGAGCUUGUUUAUUUGUUCUUCCAGAGGGUUGCUGCUAGUUGUGUCUGGCUAGCUGGAAAGUUGGGAUAGAGUCCAAGGAGAUCCAAGCAUAUUGUAUUUGUCUAAUUGUCUUCCACAGAAUGGAAUGCAGGAGAUAAAACCGGCGAAUAGAAUUCUUGGACGUAUUUUCAACGAAAUAUACAGAACUGAGGCAUGAUCCCAUAAGGACCAAACGUCAUCUGUUGAAGGAGAUGAGGUUUAUUUGCCAUGUUGAGCACCCUCACAAGUUCAUCUCGAACUAACUUGUAACACUCGAAGCUCCUGAACUGACAAAAGAAGCAUGGAACCUAGCCAAUGAUAGGCGUGGCAAGGUGGGGCAAUAGACCUCUAAGACUCAAUGCGAUAUAAAGGGGACGGAGAACCAAGCGUGUAUCUACAGAGGAAAUGAGACCACCAACGUGAUGUUAUGCGUCACAAGUUCUGUUUAUUAUUUCAGGAGCCAAAACUAGCUUCCACGCUUCUACCUAUGAUGGUUAGCAUUUAUAGUAAUUUGCUUCCGUUUUCACGUUUGUUUUGAAUGGAAUGGCGAGCUGGUUCGAAUAUUAUUCGUGCAGUUGUUGACACUUGUUGCCUUGGGCAAACAAAAAAGGUUUGUCCUAUGCCAAACUAAUACGAGUUUAGAGAAA